UGCUGCGCGGAGCCCGGAGUCGGGCUUGGUGAUCCUGAACGCACGGCCUGCCCCUGCACCGAGCUGCUCGGAUUCACCCCGAACGCGCUGCUGGGGACGCGAAUCUCGAUCAACAGAAAGAAAACAGAAAGAAGCGGCCUUUCCAGGAAAUCCCCCCCGCUCCCGCGGAAGCUCACCGCACACGGCCGAGCGGGCCCCGCUGACACCGCUCCCCAAGGCGGGGGAUGGGACGGGACACCCUACGCGCUGCCCCUGCGGCCGCCCCAGUGCCCGUGCUGCUGGGGACCUCCCCUCCCUCCAACGGCGCCGCUCCGACGCCCAGGCCAGAGCCAGCCGCGGCCGUACCUCGCAGCGGGAGUCAUCCUCACGGUCUACGAGAACGGCGCCCAGCAGCUCCCUGCCGGGCCCAGCCAGAGCCCCACGGACGAAACGGUAGACGUUGCGCCCUGGAACAGGGAGCGCAGCCGAGCCUACCCCGCAGGAGCGACGCCUCGGGGGCGGGACGCACAGCGUGCUGCUGCCGGGCUACUCGCUGCUGCUGGCCGGAGCCCCGCCCCCCAACCCGGUAGGCUCUUGGGUUCGGCCUUGAAGUACGUUCCCGCAGUGCUUUCCGGUUCGGCUCGUUUCGUUUUCUUCCUACAAACAGCUCAGCCGACUCCCCCAACCCGCACGGAUUUCUUUAAGGCUGUUUUUUACAUGUGAUGGGAAGGGAUGCCAUCCAGAUGGACCUCGACAGACUCGAAAGAGAACCUGAAACUUUUCUUUUGAAAGUGCUACCUGAAACAACCUUGAUCGUUGUCUCAAGAGGAUACGCAGGUGCCAGAUUGAAUCUUUAGUUAAAUCUCACCAUUUAUUACAUGGAGAAUCACAAGUGGGAACAUGAUGUCAUUCCUUGGAAAGGGGGAUGCUGAAGAGGAAUGGUGACUCCCUGCUCUCUAGUCAAUACCUUUCACCUCAGUGUCUGUUUGUUACACUUUGUCUCUAAGAAAAGGAAGAACUAAAGAUUGGAAGCACUUGCUCAGCUUUAUAGGAAGUUGAAUGUGUUUUCUAAAAUGUGGCUUGUGUUUGAAAACAGAGAAUUUUCAUUUGUGGCUGGCUAAUCAGUAUGGGAAGCUCAACAAAAGUGUGGUUAAAUGUCUGUGUAACUUUAUGAGACAGAUAAGAAAGCAGUGCUAGGCAGUUAUUUCACAUCACCCCAUGCUUUGGCUAUAGGCUUCUGCUGUGUUAAAUGAGAUGAGAGGAGACCCUUUGAAGAGGAAUUGUGGUAGAAGCCAGCACAGAAAGGAAGCAGUAGGAAGGAAAACUGAGGCAUUCAGUAGUUAUAAAUAAAAUAAAACAAAAAAUAGGUCA
This 1350-nucleotide long non-coding RNA is filed under the name Numida meleagris (helmeted guineafowl). RNAcentral describes it as "lncRNA (ENSNMEG00000011177.1)". Lineage: Eukaryota; Metazoa; Chordata; Aves; Galliformes; Numididae. The record is from RNAcentral.